AGUCGAUUAGCUCAGUUGGUUUAGAGCGUGGUGCUGUAAGUACAAAUAAGCGACUCCCAGUCCCAUAUGAGAGUGAGUCACUAAAGAAAGAAUAAAAUAUAAAGUUGACGCCAAGGCCGAGGGUUCGACCCCCUUAUCGACUA
Tothia fuscella is the source of this 143-nucleotide non-coding RNA. Lineage: Eukaryota; Fungi; Ascomycota; Dothideomycetes; Venturiales; Cylindrosympodiaceae. The record is from the annotation of a GenBank genome assembly.